GUGGGGAAUUUUGGACAAUGGGCGCAAGCCUGAUCCAGCCAUGCCGCGUGCAGGAUGAAGGCCUUCGGGUUGUAAACUGCUUUUGUACGGAACGAAAAGACUCUUUCUAAUAAAGAGAGUCCAUGACGGUACCGUAAGAAUAAGCACCGGCUAACUACGUGCCAGCAGCCGCGGUAAUACGUAGGGUGCGAGCGUUAAUCGGAAUUACUGGGCGUAAAGCGUGCGCAGGCGGUGAUGUAAGACAGAUGUGAAAUCCCCGGGCUCAACCUGGGAACUGCAUUUGUGACUGCAUCGCUGGAGUGCGGCAGAGGGGGAUGGAAUUCCGCGUGUAGCAGUGAAAUGCGUAGAUAUGCGGAGGAACACCGAUGGCGAAGGCAAUCCCCUGGGCCUGCACUGACGCUCAUGCACGAAAGCGUGGGGAGCAAACAGGAUUAGAAACCCUGGUAGUCC
Molecule: ribosomal RNA, 450 nt
Filed under: uncultured bacterium
Lineage: Bacteria
Description: partial 16S ribosomal RNA
Rfam family: Bacterial small subunit ribosomal RNA
Source: RNAcentral